AUUAGUAUGGAUCAAGUACUAGUCUAGCUCUAGGGGAGGAUAGUGAAGGUGAUCUUAUUAUUAGCAUUUGACAACAAUUGACAUUCUUGGUUUGCUUUUCAGUCAUUCUACAGAGGUUCUCAGGUAAAUACUUUCCCUUUUUUUAGCACCAUCUUGAGCAAUUAAGUAAAUGUUUGCCAUUAAAAGAGGUCUUAUGACAGCUGGCCUGGGAGUCUAAUCUAUGACUUCUCCAUUUUGAUCACUACAAGGUUGUCCAACACAUUUUGUUUGGUUGGCAAUUGACAUGUUCUUCAUCUCUUUGUGUCAAUAAUGUCUGCAAAAAAAAAAAAAAAGUCUUUAUGCGAGAUAGAAUGAAUGAACGAAGCAGUAGUCUUUAUUGUCAUUUCUUUUGAUUUUUUUUUUGGUCAGUCCUACUCUAUGCCUACUCUACACUCACUCGCAGACUUGUGCCCUACUUCUUGCAGGGCGUGGGAGUCGCAACCCACUCUCGAAACUUACCCGUCCCUACCCCCCAUCCUCCCCUGAAAAGGUGGGGAUUUGAACCCCUCACCUCCCCCUUCCAAGUUGGAAGGGUGGCCACUAGGGCGAACCCCCAGUGGUUCAUCAUUUCUUUUGAUGACUAAGUCAAUCAUUACCGAUUUUAAAUAUAUGUAAUAGACCACAUGUAGACACAAUUUCUCUUGUGUACCCUUGUCUCACAUUUUUCUUGUUCUAUUACUUCCAAUGGUCACACUGAUUAGCACUGUGUUUGGUAGUCUUGCUUUGCCAUAGCAAUAUGGAUAUUUUCGCCAAAGCGAUUGGCAAGAGUAACUUGCAAUUUUGCCAAGUUUGCAAAAGAAGAAAGUACUUCAAUGUAAUGCUUCUUGAUUUCUACUGACACUUGGAUGUUAAUCAAUAAUUUUAGAAUAGCAUUUGUUCUUAUAAAAGUACAAAAACAAAAAUUAGCAAGAUAAAAGCAAAAAUAAUUAAAUAAUGAAAUAAACAAAUAUGAUAAACGAAAUAAAUAGACAAAUAAUAAAGACAUCAACAUAUAAAAAGAAUCCGGUCACAAUAAGAAAAGAAAAGGUCGGUCCAAUUCAUGUAGCUCAACUUGAUCCACAAGGCCAUCGUGUCAGCCCAUUGGCCC
RNAcentral lists this long non-coding RNA (1126 nucleotides) under Eucalyptus grandis. RNAcentral describes it as "long non-coding RNA (EGRA_LNC000530)". The record is from RNAcentral. Lineage: Eukaryota; Viridiplantae; Streptophyta; Magnoliopsida; Myrtales; Myrtaceae.